UCCGAAUCUUGUGGCCUUUCUUUAAACUUAAUAUUUGCAAAUCAUGCCAUUCAAUUCAAUAAGAGAAGUCUUUCUUGGAGAGUGGCAUUUUCUAUUAGAAAGAAUAUCCUGAACUUCCAAAUGGACUUUAGGUUUCAUCUGUGACCUGUGUAUUAUAGUUCAGCCUCCAUGUGCAUCCUGCAAAUUAUGAGGCUCUCCGGAGACAUGGUGGAAAUUUGCCCAGAGCAGCUGCUGGUCAUUGCCUGUACUGUGCAUGGUGUUCCUUGGAGGCCCUGAUUUUCAAUGUAAUCAAACAAAACAAUGAUGAAAUCACGAUCAGCA
This 321-nucleotide long non-coding RNA is filed under the name Fukomys damarensis (Damara mole-rat). RNAcentral's name for it is "lncRNA (ENSFDAG00000024207.1)". Lineage: Eukaryota; Metazoa; Chordata; Mammalia; Rodentia; Bathyergidae. The record is from RNAcentral.